ACGAUCUAAGGAUGAAAGUGGGGGAUUCGCAAGAACCUCAUGCUCCUGGAGCGGCCGAUAUCUGAUUAGCUAGUUGGUGGGGUAAAGGCCUACCAAGGCAUCGAUCAGUAGCUGGUCUGAGAGGACGACCAGCCACACUGGAACUGAGACACGGUCCAGACUCCUACGGGAGGCAGCAGUGGGGAAUUUUGGACAAUGGGCGAAAGCCUGAUCCAGCAAUGCCGCGUGAGUGAAGAAGGCCUUCGGGUUGUAAAGCUCUUUUGUCAGGGAAGAAACGGUGAGAGCUAAUAUCUCUUGCUAAUGACGGUACCUGAAGAAUAAGCACCGGCUAACUACGUGCCAGCAGCCGCGGUAAUACGUAGGGUGCAAGCGUUAAUCGGAAUUACUGGGCGUAAAGCGUGCGCAGGCGGUUUUGUAAGUCUGUCGUGAAAUCCCCGGGCUCAACCUGGGAAUUGCGAUGGAGACUGCAAGGCUAGAAUCUGGCAGAGGGGGGUAGAAUUCCACGUGUAGCAGUGAAAUGCGUAGAGAUGUGGAGGAACACCGAUGGCGAAGGCAGCCCCCUGGGUCAAGAUUGACGCUCAUGCACGAAAGCGUGGGGAGCAAACAGGAUUAGAUACCCUGGUAGUCCACGCCCUAAACGAUGUCUACUAGUUGUCGGGUUUUAAUUAACUUGGUAACGC
This 680-nucleotide ribosomal RNA is filed under the name Oxalobacteraceae bacterium 96-06PB. RNAcentral describes it as "bacterial SSU rRNA". It matches the Rfam family "Bacterial small subunit ribosomal RNA", at positions 173 to 849 of the family's 1533-position model. The record is from RNAcentral. Lineage: Bacteria; Pseudomonadati; Pseudomonadota; Betaproteobacteria; Burkholderiales; Oxalobacteraceae.